RNAcentral lists this long non-coding RNA (1784 nucleotides) under Homo sapiens (human). RNAcentral describes it as "HSALNT0071299". Lineage: Eukaryota; Metazoa; Chordata; Mammalia; Primates; Hominidae. The record is from RNAcentral.
GACUUUCCCAUUCCACAGUAUGAUUUCACAUUCGAAAAACCUCUAUUCUUUUCUGAAAGUGAUUCUAACAGAAAGUUGACCCAGGGAAAUUUUAGCAGCAUGUUAGGCUGCUGGGUAGAACCCAUUUUAGUUCUGUCUUUCAGCCUAGCACACUCCACAUUCUCAGACAUCGCUUCUUGAGAGUGUACUAACCAUCAACUAUCAUUUCACAAUGGAGAAGGGUAGGCUGGAACUUGGAUGUGCAUUGGCAGGUCUGCAUUGGCAGACCAGAUGUCACCAUACAGACAACAAUAUCCUACAGGACAGAAAAGCUUGAAAGUAAAAGAAACUUUGGUGUUUGAAUAAACCACACAUUUGUCCUGGACAACCUGCCUAUCGUUGAACUGUUACAUGAGAGAAAAAGAGAUUUCUCUCUUAUUUGAACAAUUGCAUUUUCAAGUCUUUUUGUUACAGCAGCAUAACUGAUACCCUAACCCUGACAAAUACAUUUUUAAACAAAAGGAGGAAUGCUACUAUCGUACUCUAUGCUGGUCCAGUCUUACUUGGGGUGCAGUAUUCUCAUCUGUGAAUCACAUUUCAAGGGGCCUAAAGACAAAGUAGAAGUGUUCAGAUAACAGCAACAUGAUUGGUGAGAAAUUCAAAGUUGAAGAAACUGGAAGAGCAGAUUUAGAGUAAGUAGGAGUGCCACUUUCAAAUGUCUGAGGAACUGGCCUGUGAAAGAAUGAUUCACUUUGUUCUGUGUAGUUUCAGUAGAUAGAAGUAUGGUUCAACGGGAAAACUGAUUUUGCUGAAGAGAAAGAUUUCUGGCUGUCAGGUCUGCAUAGACAUUGGAGGCACUGAGUUCCCUGCUCAUGGAGAUAUUUUUCACAGAGCCUGGAUAAUCAUUUGGCUGGAUUUGUAACAACUGUGUAUCAUACAGCAUGAAAAUGCAUUUUCUAGCUUCCCUUGAAGUGAAAUGUGAGCAAAAAUGAUGCCAGCCACUCCCAGACCGGCCCAUAGAAACCUCCCAUAUUCUUUCUUCUUCUGCUGCUGGAUAUUGACACAGGGGAUGACUUUGAAAGCUGAGUAUUGAAGAUGGCAGAAGCUGUCUUUCAGCCUUGGUCCCUGAACAACAUGUUGAGCAGAUCCCGUGGUAAUCUGGAACUGCCCUGGACUGUGUAAGUGAGUGAGACAUAAACUCUUACUAUGCUUGAGCCAUUUUACAUGUAACAGCAGUUAGCUUUCCUUACUUAAUGCUCUUUAUACCCUGCUACUAAAUAGCAAGAAUUGUAACUUUAGAUCACAGGACUAUGUGAAUAGUCAUUAUAUUUGUCAACAACUCUAACAGGCUGAACUUUUUAUUCCUCAGUUAUUUAAAAUUGUGGUAAAAUACACAUAACAUAAAAUUUACCAUCUUACCCAUGUUAAGUAUACAGUUCAGUGGUAUUAAGUACAUUUGUAGUGCUAUAUGUUCAUCACCACCAUCUACCUCCAGAACUCUUUUCAUCUUGUAAAACUGAAACUCUGUGCCCAUUAAACAGUAACUCCAUUCCCUCCUCCACACAAGCCUCUGGCAACCACCACUGUACUUUCUGUUUCUAUGGUUUUGAUUAUUCUAAGUACCUCAUAUAAGUGGAAUCAUGCACUAUUUGUCUUUUUUUGUUGUUGGCAGAUUUCACUUAGCAUACUGUCCUCAAGUUUCAUCCAUGUGUCAGAAUUUCCUUCCUUUUUGCAGCUGAAUAAUAUUCUAUUAUAUGUGUGUACCACAUUUUGUUUAUCCAUUCAUUCAUCAGUGGACACUUGGG